UCAAGUUAUUAAGGGUGCAGGGCGGAUGCCUUGGCACUAGGAGCCGAUGAAGGACGUGAUAAGCUGCGAUAAGCUUCGGGGAGUUGCACGUAAACUUUGAUCCGAAGAUUUCCGAAUGAGGAAACUCACUUAGAGUAAUGUCUAAGUAUCAUUAAGUGAAUACAUAGCUUAAUGAGGGGAACUCAGGGAACUGAAACAUCUAAGUACCUGAAGGAAGAGAAAGAAAUUCGAUUCCGUAAGUAGCGGCGAGCGAACGCGGAUUAGCCCAAACCAAUAAAGUUUUCUUUAUUGGGGUUGCGGACAUAUCAUAACGAAGAGGUAUCGUAAUUGAAGAGGUUUGGAAAGACCCACCACAGAAGGUAAUAGUCCUGUAUGUUAAACGAGAAGACUUCAGAUAUGAUCCAGAGUACCACGGGACACGUGAAACCCUGUGGGAAGCAGGAGGGACCACCCUCCAAGGCUAAAUACUACCUAGUGACCGAUAGCGUAUAGUACCGUGAGGGAAAGGUGAAAAGAACCCCGGGAGGGGAGUGAAAUAGAACCUGAAACCCUGCACUUACAAGCUGUGGAAGCACAUUUCUUGUGUGACCGCGUACUUUUUGUAGAACGGGCCAACGAGUUACGUUAAGUAGCAAGGUUAAGCACUUAAGGUGCGGAGCCGUAGCGAAAGCGAGUUUUAACUGAGCGUUCAGUUACUUGACGUAGACCCGAAACCGGGCGACCUACCCAUGAGCAGGAUGAAGCGAAAGUAAAAUUUCGUGGAGGUCCGAACCCACGAGCGUUGAAAAGCUCGGGGAUGACUUGUGGGUAGCGGUGAAAUUCCAAUCGAGCCCGGAGAUAGCUGGUUCUCCCCGAAAUAGCUUUAGGGCUAGCCUCAAGGUGAGAGAUACGGAGGUAGAGCACUGAAUGUCCUAGGGGGUAUUGCACCUACCGAAGACUAUCAAACUCCGAAUGCCGUCAUCUUAUACUUGGGAGUCAGACUGUGGGUGAUAAGAUUCAUAGUCGAAAGGGCAACAGCCCAGAUCGUCAGCUAAGGUCCCUAAAUGUAAGUUAAGUGGUAAAGGAUGUGGGAUUGCACAGACAACCAGGAUGUUGGCUUAGAAGCAGCCACUCAUUCAAAGAGUGCGUAAUAGCUCACUGGUCGAGUGAUCCUGCGCCGAAGAUUUCCGGGGCUAAAACUUACUACCGAAGCUACGGCAUCAGUAAUGAUGGGUAGGGGAGCUUCCCAUACGGGUUGAAGCAUGACCGUAAGGACAUGUGGACAGUAUGGGAGUGAGAAUGUUGGCAUGAGUAGCGAGAUGUGGGUGAGAAUCCCACAGGCCGUAAACCCAAGGUUUCCAGGGGAAGGUUCGUCCGCCCUGGGUUAGUCGGGACCUAAGCUGAGGCCGAAAGGCGUAGGUGAUGGACAACAGGUUGAUAUUCCUGUACUACCGAUAACCGUUUGAGAGAAGGGAUGACACAGUAGGAUAAGCUAAGCACACUGUUGGUUAUGUGUGCCCAAGCAUUGAGGCAGUCAAAGUAGGCAAAUCCGCUUUGAUAAUGCUGGGAUGUGAUGGGGAGCGAAAUUUAGUAGCGAAGUAGCUGAUUUCACACUGUCAAGAAAAGUCUCUAUCGAGGUUAAAGGUACCCGUACCGCAAACCGACACAGGUGGGUGAGGAGAGUAUCCUAAGGCCAGCGAGAGAACUGUUGUUAAGGAACUCGGCAAAAUGACCCCGUAACUUAGGGAUAAGGGGUGCCACCAUCAGGUGGCCGCAGAGAAUAGGCCCAAGCGACUGUUUACCAAAAACAUAGGUUUCUGCUAAGUCGCAAGACGAUGUAUAGGAGCUGACGCCUGCCCGGUGCUGGAAGGUUAAGGGGAUCUGUUAGAGCAAUCGAAGCAGUGAACUUAAGCCCCAGUAAACGGCGGCCGUAACUAUAACGGUCCUAAGGUAGCGAAAUUCCUUGUCGGGUAAGUUCCGACCCGCACGAAAGGCG
Molecule: ribosomal RNA, 1975 nt
Filed under: Clostridioides difficile
Lineage: Bacteria; Bacillati; Bacillota; Clostridia; Peptostreptococcales; Peptostreptococcaceae
Description: bacterial LSU rRNA
Rfam family: Bacterial large subunit ribosomal RNA
Source: RNAcentral